This 253-nucleotide ribosomal RNA is filed under the name uncultured bacterium. RNAcentral's name for it is "partial 16S ribosomal RNA". It matches the Rfam family "Bacterial small subunit ribosomal RNA", at positions 524 to 776 of the family's 1533-position model. The record is from RNAcentral. RNAcentral also lists the same sequence under 1 other name.
UACGUAGGGUGCGAGCGUUGUCCGGAAUUACUGGGCGUAAAGAGCUCGUAGGUGGUUUGUCGCGUUGUUCGUGAAAACUCACGGCUUAACUGUGAGCGUGCGGGCGAUACGGGCAGACUGGAGUACUGCAGGGGAGACUGGAAUUCCUGGUGUAGCGGUGGAAUGCGCAGAUAUCAGGAGGAACACCGGUGGCGAAGGCGGGUCUCUGGGCAGUAACUGACGCUGAGGAGCGAAAGCGUGGGGAGCGAACAGG